This 878-nucleotide ribosomal RNA is filed under the name Bacillus subtilis. RNAcentral describes it as "bacterial SSU rRNA". It matches the Rfam family "Bacterial small subunit ribosomal RNA", at positions 36 to 893 of the family's 1533-position model. Lineage: Bacteria; Bacillati; Bacillota; Bacilli; Caryophanales; Bacillaceae. The record is from RNAcentral.
CUAGUGGUGCCUAUACAUGCAAGUCGAGCGGACAGAUGGGAGCUUGCUCCCUGAUGUUAGCGGCGGACGGGUGAGUAACACGUGGGUAACCUGCCUGUAAGACUGGGAUAACUCCGGGAAACCGGGGCUAAUACCGGAUGGUUGUUUGAACCGCAUGGUUCAAACAUAAAAGGUGGCUUCGGCUACCACUUACAGAUGGACCCGCGGCGCAUUAGCUAGUUGGUGAGGUAACGGCUCACCAAGGCAACGAUGCGUAGCCGACCUGAGAGGGUGAUCGGCCACACUGGGACUGAGACACGGCCCAGACUCCUACGGGAGGCAGCAGUAGGGAAUCUUCCGCAAUGGACGAAAGUCUGACGGAGCAACGCCGCGUGAGUGAUGAAGGUUUUCGGAUCGUAAAGCUCUGUUGUUAGGGAAGAACAAGUACCGUUCGAAUAGGGCGGUACCUUGACGGUACCUAACCAGAAAGCCACGGCUAACUACGUGCCAGCAGCCGCGGUAAUACGUAGGUGGCAAGCGUUGUCCGGAAUUAUUGGGCGUAAAGGGCUCGCAGGCGGUUUCUUAAGUCUGAUGUGAAAGCCCCCGGCUCAACCGGGGAGGGUCAUUGGAAACUGGGGAACUUGAGUGCAGAAGAGGAGAGUGGAAUUCCACGUGUAGCGGUGAAAUGCGUAGAGAUGUGGAGGAACACCAGUGGCGAAGGCGACUCUCUGGUCUGUAACUGACGCUGAGGAGCGAAAGCGUGGGGAGCGAACAGGAUUAAAUACCCCUGGUAGUCCACGCCGUAAACGAUGAGUGCUAAGUGUUAGGGGGGUUUCCGCCCCUUAGUGCUGCAGCUAACGCAUUUAAGCACUCCGGCCUGGGUGAGUACGGUCGCAAGG